Molecule: long non-coding RNA, 340 nt
Organism: Alligator sinensis (Chinese alligator)
Lineage: Eukaryota; Metazoa; Chordata; Crocodylia; Alligatoridae
Exons: 3
Source: RefSeq, a predicted model, not a curated record
CUUAACACCUCAGGGAGGCAGCACAGAGGGUUGGAGAUGCAGGACGAGGAAGGAUACGCCACUUUAAAUUUUCAGGCAUCUUGGAAUGCAGCUUCUGCCCAUGAACAACCAGGCAGACAAAAAGGGAUUUCUAAGAUGGCAGUUUCCAAACAACACUUACUGGAUUGGAUUUUCAUUUAAGAGAGACAGGAAUGGCUGGAUUUGGGAGGACAACACACCUCUUACUCCAGCACAGAAGAAUAUGUUCGCUCUUUACAAGGAGUAUCCCUGUGCAUGCAUUUCUUCAUUACUUGCUCAUAGCACUGACUGUAACAAGAAAAAUAACUGGAUCUGUGAGAAG